GAACCGUGUUCCCACACCCAGCCAGCACCGUCCGACAGGUCUGGAUCCAAGGAAAAUCCAAAGGAGACCUGGCUGGGACUGCCCAGCCCGGUGUGCCUGGGGCUAGGAGUUCUCAGGGAGAGCUGGGACACCAGGGAUGGUUCUGCUUGCCAAAAGUCUCCAGUGCCUUCUGUGUGUGAGCACAAAUACCUGGGCCCACAGGCUGAACCCUGCAGGGUCACAUGGGUGACAGGGCUAAAAAAAGGCAAACACAGAGGCCUAAUUUAAACUGCCCCAAAAUGUUGGUGUUUUCCCCCCCUGGGGCUGCUCAUGAGCCUCUUCCAGCUUUUCCUACAGCUUUCCUGGAAUUUUAAUAUCCCGCUCUCUUCGGGGUUUGUGCUUUUUGAUUCUUUUAUUUUUAGCUGCAGCAUUUUGCAGCGGUCUGCAGAGCCUGCUUGACGCCAGCAAAUGUAACUGGAUGCCGAGUCCCUGCGAGCCAGGAAUUGCAGCCAGGAGCAGCACAAACCCUGGCACUGGGCAAAACCUGGGAGCCUGAAUCCUGAAUUUAUCUCCUGCCUUGGGAAAGCAGGCAGGGGGGCUUCAUCAGAACGGAGAGAAGAGCUGGGAAGGGUUUGAGGGCUUGGAGGAGGGGAUCAAGGCAGGAAAUCCAGUGAAUGAUGAGACUGGGCUGGUCCCUGGGCAAGUGGGAGCAGCUCUGGACUAUCCAGCACCAAGGAGCCCCCUGAGCUCAGAGGAAGACCAGUGCUUUCAGAAGUGCAGGUACCAGCCUGGAUGUCUGCAGCAAACCAGAAUAUUGCCUGCAGUUAAGGAUGUCUCUACUAAAAUAAGCAAAUAAAUUCAUUUUGCAUGAUUUAUUACAGUGCUUAAAGAAUAUUUCAUAUCAGAAUCAAAGUAAGCCACCCCAUCUGGUCUCUUUUUACACCUCUUACCUUCUGAUCGACUUAACUGCAAACUCUAUUGAUUAAAAUAUGCCCUAUGCCCUCAUUCUUGUAGCUUAAUACUCAACAAAAUUAAAUGUAAAAUAACCAAAUCCUGGAUUUCUUACAGCAAUUGCUGUACCUGGUCACUUGGAUAUUGGAGGAUGA
Molecule: long non-coding RNA, 1085 nt
Organism: Parus major (Great Tit)
Lineage: Eukaryota; Metazoa; Chordata; Aves; Passeriformes; Paridae
Exons: 3
Source: RefSeq, a predicted model, not a curated record